AGAUUUCCCUAUUUCAACAGAGUACAACCAAGUGCCUGAAUUGAGUGAUUCCUCCUAGUAUUAAGAUUUUAUCAUUUUAAUUAUAUUUUUUUUAUCUAGCAGUUUCUUAACGACUUUGAUUGUUGGAAGAUCAAAAUGCUCUUUUAUUUUGGUACUUCGUAACUCAGGAAGACCUCAUUUAUUCCCAGUAAUAUGUUUUACUAAACUCUUUCAGUUAUCAGAGACUAUUACAGACGAUUGCUGUACUCGAGGCUCAGCGUUCUCAAGCAGUCCAAGACCUUGAAAGUUUAGGCAGGCACCAGAGAGAAGCACUGAAAAAUCCCAUUGGAUUUGUGGAAAAACUCCAGAAGAAGGCUGAUAUUGGGCUUCCAUAUCCACAGAGAGUUGUUCAAUUGCCUGAGAUCGUAUGGGACCAAUAUACCCAUAGCCUUGGGAAUUUUGAAAGAGAAUUUAAAAAUCGUAAAAGACAUACUAGAAGAGUUAAGCUAGUUUUUGAUAAAGGUUUACCUGCUAGACCAAAAAGUCCUUUAGAUCCUAAGAAGGAUGGAGAGUCCCUUUCAUAUUCUAUGUUG
This 572-nucleotide long non-coding RNA is filed under the name Homo sapiens (human). Its description in RNAcentral is "non-protein coding lnc-USP33-2:1". Lineage: Eukaryota; Metazoa; Chordata; Mammalia; Primates; Hominidae. The record is from RNAcentral.